RNAcentral lists this non-coding RNA (57 nucleotides) under unclassified sequences. RNAcentral's name for it is "pemK RNA". It matches the Rfam family "pemK RNA". The record is from RNAcentral.
UUAAAGAUACUUCUCUACGGAGCUGGCGGAAACCCGGCAGAGGUUAGAUUCCUAUGG